AGUGGAAUAGCUGAGUCAAAUGGUGGUUCCAUUCCAAGUUUUUUUAAGAAAUCAUCAUACUGCUUUCCAGAUUGGUGGCACCAAUUUGCAGUCCCACCAGCAAU
This 104-nucleotide microRNA precursor is filed under the name Marmota monax (woodchuck). Lineage: Eukaryota; Metazoa; Chordata; Mammalia; Rodentia; Sciuridae. The record is from RNAcentral.